Long non-coding RNA from Rhinolophus ferrumequinum (greater horseshoe bat), 570 nucleotides. RefSeq lists it as uncharacterized. NCBI's taxonomy places the organism in Eukaryota, Metazoa, Chordata, Mammalia, Chiroptera, Rhinolophidae. The transcript is spliced from 3 exons. The record is from RefSeq and is a predicted model, not a curated record.
CGGACAUCCCAAAAGGGCGGGCCGGCGGUCGCGGGCUCAGGAGGAUGGGAUGGGCGGCCGGGCUCCUCUGUGGCUGCCCGGCCCCGCCAGGCGUGCUCUCGCUCUUCCCUUCCCGGUGGAUGGACAAGGGAGGAGCAGAGGUGAAACAAGCCACAGGACAGAGCUUGACAAUGACAGCAGGCAAGGGUGGGCCACUCAGCCACAGAGGGCUCCUCAGGCGACCUGCCGGCUUCUCCUCUCCUCAACUCUGAGUCUGUAUCAACGGAGGGCAACUGUAUCAACGGAGGGCAAGUGUGCUUACCCGGAGCACAAUUACCAUAUUUUCACAUUUAUUCAGUGUGGCCAAGAGGGCCACUGAGGACAUUUGUUUCUAAGAAAACUUUUGAAAGGCAUUAAAAAGGGCUCAUGGCAAAACAGAUUCCCCUCCAGGUUCCUGGGAAUGUCUUCACUGCCCCCAGAGAAGCCCACCGUAACUGGCCACCCUGAGCUUCACUGAUCACUUACAAUUUACAGAACAAGAUAAAGAGAGACUGAGAGACAUAUCAACCAACUGCAAUAUGUGGAUCUCAC